UGGGGCGUUCCAUAUAGGUUGGGUGCUAAAUUUUGGAUGAAAAUCAAAGACUUUUAGUGUGUGAUAUGAGAGAAAAGAUCUAAAAAAAAUUUGAGAAAAAAUAAGAAAAAAUUGGGAGAAAAAAUAGUAAGAAGGGUGGUGAGAAAAAUAGUAAGUGUUGCUAGUUUGUCCUAAGGUUUUAUUUUUUUAUGUGUUAGAGUACAAAAUCAAAUCUUAGGUUGUGAGAUUUUUGGAGAGAAUUUUUUUGGCAUGAUCCUAGUGGCA
RNAcentral lists this long non-coding RNA (264 nucleotides) under Elaeis guineensis (African oil palm). RNAcentral's name for it is "long non-coding RNA (EGUI_LNC039770)". Lineage: Eukaryota; Viridiplantae; Streptophyta; Magnoliopsida; Arecales; Arecaceae. The record is from RNAcentral.